GAUGAACGCUAGCGACAGGCCUAACACAUGCAAGUCGAGGGGCAGCACGAGGUAGCAAUACUGAGGUGGCGACCGGCGCACGGGUGAGUAACACGUAUGCAACCUACCUGUAAGAGGGGAAUAACCCGGAGAAAUUCGGACUAAUACCGCAUAACACUGCCAUACCGCAUGGUAUAGCAGUUAAACAUUUAUGGUUUACAGAUGGGCAUGCGUAUGAUUAGAUAGCUGGUGAGGUAACGGCUCACCAAGUCAACGAUCAUUAGGGGUUCUGAGAGGAAGGUCCCCCACUCUGGUACUGAGACACGGACCAGACUCCUACGGGAGGAAGGAGUGAGGAAUAGUGGUCAAUGGGCGAGAGCCUGAACCAGCCAAGUCGCGUGAAGGAAGAAGGUUCUAUGGAUUGUAAACUUCUUUUGUAAGGGAAUAAAAAGAGUUACGUGUAACUUAUCGUAUGUACUUUACGAAUAAGGAUCGGCUAACUCCGUGCCAGCCGCCGCGGUAA
RNAcentral lists this ribosomal RNA (502 nucleotides) under uncultured bacterium. RNAcentral describes it as "partial 16S ribosomal RNA". It matches the Rfam family "Bacterial small subunit ribosomal RNA", at positions 28 to 523 of the family's 1533-position model. The record is from RNAcentral.